This 534-nucleotide long non-coding RNA is filed under the name Salvia miltiorrhiza (redroot sage). RNAcentral's name for it is "long non-coding RNA (SMIL_LNC012747)". Lineage: Eukaryota; Viridiplantae; Streptophyta; Magnoliopsida; Lamiales; Lamiaceae. The record is from RNAcentral.
UCAUUAUUCAUUAGGGUUCUGUUCUUUCUGUUCUGAUUUCCCCGCCUCCACCCCUCUCGUUCUAUCUUUCCGCCUCCCUCCCUUGCACCGGCACCUCCCACCGGCACCGGCGCCGCUGCCUAUCCCACCGGCACCGGUGCCUCCCUCCCUUUCUCCACUGACGCUCUCCUAGUCCCAGCAGGCAGUAGCAGCACAACCUUUCUCCCAGUCCCAGCUCGCCGGCGCUCGCCCUGCCUCUUCCACCGGCAGGAUAUCUUUCAUCCCUCCGCCAGCGUUGCUUUGUCGGCGUCUCUCACUCUGCAGGCGUCGCCCCCUCUACCAGGCAGAGUGAAAAAAAAAGGCGUCGCCCCCUCCGCCAGCGUCGCUCCUUCCGUCAGCGUCUCCCUCCGCUUCUCAACCUCGACGAGUUGUGCAUUCAGAUUCAGGUAUGAAUUAUGAUUAUAGUGUCAUGGAGUUAGACAGUUAGUAUAUAUCGAUUGGAUAAAGUUUCACUGUUUCAUUGCAAUUGUAUGCUUAUGUUGAGAGAAGGGCGUG